UCUCCGUAGGUGAACCUGCGGAAGGAUCAUUCAUAAUAAAGUGUUUUAUGGCACUUUUUAGAAAUCCAUAUCCACCUUGUGUGCAAUGUUAGAUCUCGUCAAUCUUGGCGAGAUUUUUAUACAUCAACUCAUUCUUUAACUAAUUUGUCUGAAAAAUAUUAUGAAUACUUAAUUCAAAAUACAACUUUCAACAACGGAUCUCUUGGCUCUC
Molecule: unclassified non-coding RNA, 211 nt
Filed under: plant metagenome
Description: partial contains small subunit ribosomal RNA, internal transcribed spacer 1, and 5.8S ribosomal RNA
Source: RNAcentral